Molecule: unclassified non-coding RNA, 347 nt
Filed under: Hevea brasiliensis (rubber tree)
Lineage: Eukaryota; Viridiplantae; Streptophyta; Magnoliopsida; Malpighiales; Euphorbiaceae
Source: RNAcentral
GAAAAUCUCCGGCCUCCCCCCUCCUCUCCCAGUCCCAGAUCCCCUUCUUCCAAUCAGAUCCAAUGGAUUGGCAAGGACAGAAGCUGGCCGAGACGCUGAUGGAGAUCCUUCUGGCGGUGUUCGCCGUGGCGGCGCUGGCGAUCGGCUACUCCCUCGGUUCCUUCGAGAAGAUGAUGCUGAUAUACGCCGGCGGGGUCGCCCUCACGACGCUGAUCACCGUCCCCAACUGGCCCUGGUUCAACCGCCACCACCUCAACUGGCUGGAUCCUGCUGAGGCUGACCGCCACCCCAAACCGCAGAUGCCGGUCGUCACCGCCCCCAAGAAGAAGGGGUCCAAGCACCACCAG